AGCUCCAAUAGCGUAUAUUAAAGUUGUUGCAGUUAAAACGCUCGUAGUCGGAUUUCGGGGCGGUCUCGCCGGUCUGCCGAUGGGUAUGCACUGGCAGGGCCGUCCUUCCUUCCGGAGACUGCGCCUACUCUUAGCUGAGCGGGUGCGGGAGACGGAUCGUUUACUUUGAAAAAAUCAGAGUGUUUCAAGCAGGCAGCUCGCUUUUGCAUGGAUUAGCAUGGGAUAAUGAAAUAGGACUUUGGUGCUAUUUUGUUGGUUUCGAACACCGAAGUAAUGAUUAACAGGGACAGUCAGGGGCACUCGUAUUCCGCCGAGAGAGGUGAAAUUCUCAGACCAGCGGAAGACGAACCACUGCGAAAGCAUUUGCCAGGGAUGUUUUCACUGAUCAAGAACGAAAGUA
RNAcentral lists this ribosomal RNA (400 nucleotides) under phytoplankton environmental sample. RNAcentral's name for it is "partial small subunit ribosomal RNA". It matches the Rfam family "Eukaryotic small subunit ribosomal RNA", at positions 587 to 991 of the family's 1831-position model. The record is from RNAcentral.